Molecule: ribosomal RNA, 404 nt
Filed under: uncultured bacterium
Lineage: Bacteria
Description: bacterial SSU rRNA
Rfam family: Bacterial small subunit ribosomal RNA
Source: RNAcentral
UGGGGGAUAUUGCACAAUGGGGGAAACCCUGAUGCAGCGAUGCCGCGUGAGGGAAGAAGGUUUUCGGAUUGUAAACCUCUGUGGACAGAGACGAUAAUGACGGUAUCUGUCAAGGAAGCCACGGCUAACUACGUGCCAGCAGCCGCGGUAAUACGUAGGUGGCAAGCGUUGUCCGGAAUUACUGGGUGUAAAGGGAGUGUAGGCGGGAAGGCAAGUCAGAAGUGAAAAUUAUGGGCUCAACCCAUAACUUGCUUUUGAAACUGUUUUUCUUGAGUGAAGUAGAGGCAAGCGGAAUUCCUAGUGUAGCGGUGAAAUGCGUAGAUAUUAGGAGGAACACCAGUGGCGAAGGCGGCUUGCUGGGCUUUUACUGACGCUGAGGCUCGAAAGCGUGGGGAGCAAACAGG